GACUAUUUCCAGUCUGUUCCAAACUCCCAUCAACAUUAUCAUAUUUCCGGUCCUGCUUCAAACUAUUGCAACUCAAGAUUUCAGCCAAGUGUAAUUGAAAAAAAAAAAAAGAAAAAAGGAGAUCACAUUGAGUGUGCAGGUACAUCUGAAAGGAUUUAGGCGAUAUUUCCAGAAUAUUUC
RNAcentral lists this long non-coding RNA (180 nucleotides) under Mustela putorius furo (domestic ferret). RNAcentral's name for it is "lncRNA (ENSMPUG00000024143.1)". Lineage: Eukaryota; Metazoa; Chordata; Mammalia; Carnivora; Mustelidae. The record is from RNAcentral.